RNAcentral lists this long non-coding RNA (417 nucleotides) under Mytilus galloprovincialis (Mediterranean mussel). Lineage: Eukaryota; Metazoa; Mollusca; Bivalvia; Mytilida; Mytilidae. The record is from RNAcentral.
GUUUCCAUGGAAAAUUAAAAAUAACAUAAAUGACAAUUAUUUGUCUGUUGACAGAAAAUAAAAUUAUAUCCUUCUGGUACCCCAAAAUCAUCGAAUGUUAUACAUACUGUUGGGUAACAUUAAUAAUUAUGUUUUGACACGAAUUCCAAUAUUUUCCUUUCAAUAUAUACAAACAAACAUCUGCAAUGAAUUCAUUCACCGCAUACACAGUUCAUAGGUUAAACGGACGAUGCUAAAAGCUAUUUGAUUUGAUUAGCAUGUGUAUCACAUACAUGUAAAUGUAUUUUGAAGAAAUUCCACAAUGAAUGUUACCUAAUUAUCAUUAUAUAUAUAAACAAAACAUUUACAAGUACAUGUACACAAACGUUUCGUUAUAGCUGUCGUUCUAGUUAUCCUUCAUCCUUAUCUUUAACAUGU